Molecule: long non-coding RNA, 483 nt
Organism: Oreochromis niloticus (Nile tilapia)
Lineage: Eukaryota; Metazoa; Chordata; Actinopteri; Cichliformes; Cichlidae
Exons: 5
Source: RefSeq, a predicted model, not a curated record
UGUGACAUCAGCGGUCAUGGAGAGUCUCCAUCCAGCUGGAUCACUGUCACAGACAAACACACCACCACACCUCCACCUACAUCCACACCUCCACCUGCAUCCACCUCUAACCCUGGUUCCUCUCUCAUACCUGUGUUGUCAUCUGUUGGAUCAGUCUGUGUUGUGGUUCUGGUGUUACUGGUUCUGCUGGUGAGACGAUGUGUUCACAGGAAACCUGAAGCAGAUCAAGAAGAAACUGGAGAAGAUGACAUCAUCACUCAUGUCAUGUACAGUUACAUCAAAAUAUUGAAUCAUCAACAGCGAAUCAGAUGAAGCAGAGUGAGUGAACCAGCUGAAGACGUCAGUUAUGAGCCAACAAUGAGGCCCAGACUUUAAACCAGAGCCAGACGUCGUCUACUCUUCACCGAAGUAGUCCACCAGUCCAACCACUGACGUCCAGCUGCUGGUCUCUAACUGGUCCCCCCAGCAUCUCAGACCAGAGGA